UGUGGAAGGUAUGUCUGAUUGCAUGAAG
RNAcentral lists this non-coding RNA (28 nucleotides) under Mus musculus (house mouse). Lineage: Eukaryota; Metazoa; Chordata; Mammalia; Rodentia; Muridae. The record is from RNAcentral.